RNAcentral lists this small nucleolar RNA (118 nucleotides) under Nannospalax galili (Upper Galilee mountains blind mole rat). RNAcentral's name for it is "Small nucleolar RNA SNORA51 (ENSNGAG00000005423.1)". It matches the Rfam family "Small nucleolar RNA SNORA51". Rfam says of the family: ACA51 is a member of the H/ACA class of snoRNA that guide the sites of modification of uridines to pseudouridines. The record is from Rfam by way of RNAcentral. Lineage: Eukaryota; Metazoa; Chordata; Mammalia; Rodentia; Spalacidae.
AACCUCCUGGUGCUUACCACAGGCUGUGUUUUUAUACUGACUGUAUAGAAAGAGAAGGGAGAGCAAACCUACCCCAUACACACCCCAACCCAGGCCACUGUUGAAUGGGGAGACAUGG